This 27-nucleotide non-coding RNA is filed under the name Rattus norvegicus (Norway rat). Lineage: Eukaryota; Metazoa; Chordata; Mammalia; Rodentia; Muridae. The record is from RNAcentral.
UGCUGAACCCAGAAACUUUCUCUUACC